CGAUACAGGGUGACAGCCCCGUACACAAAAAUGCACAUGCUGUGAGCUCGAUGAGUAGGGCGGGACACGUGGUAUCCUGUCUGAAUAUGGGGGGACCAUCCUCCAAGGCUAAAUACUCCUGACUGACCGAUAGUGAACCAGUACCGUGAGGGAAAGGCGAAAAGAACCCCGGCGAGGGGAGUGAAAAAGAACCUGAAACCGUGUACGUACAAGCAGUGGGAGCACAGAGCAAUCUGUGUGACUGCGUACCUUUUGUAUAAUGGGUCAGCGACUUAUAUUCUGUAGCAAGGUUAACCGAAUAGGGGAGCCGAAGGGAAACCGAGUCUUAACUGGGCGUUAAGUUGCAGGGUAUAGACCCGAAACCCGGUGAUCUAGCCAUGGGCAGGUUGAAGGUUGGGUAACACUAACUGGAGGACCGAACCGACUAAUGUUGAAAAAUUAGCGGAUGACUUGUGGCUGGGGGUGAAAGGCCAAUCAAACCGGGAGAUAGCUGGUUCUCCCCGAAAGCUAUUUAGGUAGCGCCUCGUGAAUUCAUCUCCGGGGGUAGAGCACUGUUUCGGCAAGGGGGUCAUCCCGACUUACCAACCCGAUGCAAACUGCGAAUACCGGAGAAUGUUAUCACGGGAGACACACGGCGGGUGCUAACGUCCGUCGUGAAGAGGGAAACAACCCAGACCGCCAGCUAAGGUCCCAAAGUCAUGGUUAAGUGGGAAACGAUGUGGGAAGGCCCAGACAGCCAGGAUGUUGGCUUAGAAGCAGCCAUCAUUUAAAGAAAGCGUAAUAGCUCACUGGUCGAGUCGGCCUGCGCGGAAGAUGUAACGGGGCUAAACCAUGCACCGAAGCUGCGGCAGCGACGCUGAUGCGUUGUUGGGUAGGGGAGCGUUCUGUAAGCCUGUGAAGGUGUGCUGUGAGGCAUGCUGGAGGUAUCAGAAGUGCGAAUGCUGACAUAAGUAACGAUAAAGCGGGUGAAAAGCCCGCUCGCCGGAAGACCAAGGGUUCCUGUCCAACGUUAAUCGGGGCAGGGUGAGUCGACCCCUAAGGCGAGGCCGAAAGGCGUAGUCGAUGGGAAACAGGUUAAUAUUCCUGUACUUGGUGUUACUGCGAAGGGGGGACGGAGAAGGCUAUGUUGGCCGGGCGACGGUUGUCCCGGUUUAAGCGUGUAGGCUGGUUUUCCAGGCAAAUCCGGAAAACUAAGGCUGAGGCGUGAUGACGAGGCACUACGGUGCUGAAGCAACAAAUGCCCUGCUUCCAGGAAAAGCCUCUAAGCAUCAGGUAACAUCAAAUCGUACCCCAAACCGACACAGGUGGUCAGGUAGAGAAUACCAAGGCGCUUGAGAGAACUCGGGUGAAGGAACUAGGCAAAAUGGUGCCGUAACUUCGGGAGAAGGCACGCUGAUAUGUAGGUGAAGUCCCUCGCGGAUGGAGCUGAAAUCAGUCGAAGAUACCAGCUGGCUGCAACUGUUUAUUAAAAACACAGCACUGUGCAAACACGAAAGUGGACGUAUACGGUGUGACGCCUGCCCGGUGCCGGAAGGUUAAUUGAUGGGGUCAGCGCAAGCGAAGCUCUUGAUCGAAGCCCCGGUAAACGGCGGCCGUAACUAUAACGGUCCUAAGGUAGCGAAAUUCCUUGUCGGGUAAGUUCCGACCUGCACGAAUGGCGUAAUGAUGGCCAGGCUGUCUCCACCCGAGACUCAGUGAAAUUGAACUCGCUGUGAAGAUGCAGUGUACCCGCGGCAAGACGGAAAGACCCCGUGAACCUUUACUAUAGCUUGACACUGAACAUUGAGCCUUGAUGUGUAGGAUAGGUGGGAGGCUUUGAAGUGUGGACGCCAGUCUGCAUGGAGCCGACCUUGAAAUACCACCCUUUAAUGUUUGAUGUUCUAACGUUGACCCGUAAUCCGGGUUGCGGACAGUGUCUGGUGGGUAGUUUGACUGGGGCGGUCUCCUCCUAAAGAGUAACGGAGGAGCACGAAGGUUGGCUAAUCCUGGUCGGACAUCAGGAGGUUAGUGCAAUGGCAUAAGCCAGCUUGACUGCGAGCGUGACGGCGCGAGCAGGUGCGAAAGCAGGUCAUAGUGAUCCGGUGGUUCUGAAUGGAAGGGCCAUCGCUCAACGGAUAAAAGGUACUCCGGGGAUAACAGGCUGAUACCGCCCAAGAGUUCAUAUCGACGGCGGUGUUUGGCACCUCGAUGUCGGCUCAUCACAUCCUGGGGCUGAAGUAGGUCCCAAGGGUAUGGCUGUUCGCCAUUUAAAGUGGUACGCGAGCUGGGUUUAGAACGU
This 2278-nucleotide ribosomal RNA is filed under the name Escherichia coli. RNAcentral describes it as "bacterial LSU rRNA". It matches the Rfam family "Bacterial large subunit ribosomal RNA", at positions 354 to 2619 of the family's 2925-position model. Lineage: Bacteria; Pseudomonadati; Pseudomonadota; Gammaproteobacteria; Enterobacterales; Enterobacteriaceae. The record is from RNAcentral.